RNAcentral lists this ribosomal RNA (1024 nucleotides) under uncultured bacterium. RNAcentral's name for it is "bacterial SSU rRNA". It matches the Rfam family "Bacterial small subunit ribosomal RNA", at positions 59 to 1051 of the family's 1533-position model. The record is from RNAcentral.
AGGUUUUGUUGAAUGAUUUCUUCGGAAUGAAUUCUUUAAAACCGAGUGGCGGACGGGUGAGUAACACGUGGGUAACCUGCCCUUAAGUAGGGGAUAACAUUUGGAAACAGAUGCUAAUACCGUAUAAACCUCAGAAACACAUGUUUCUGAGUUGAAAGGCGGCUUUCGAGCUGUCGCUUUUGGAUGGACCCGCGGCGUAUUAGCUAGUUGGUGAGGUAAAGGCUCACCAAGGCGGUGAUACGUAGCCGACCUGAGAGGGUGAUCGGCCACAUUGGGACUGAGACACGGCCCAAACUCCUACGGGAGGCAGCAGUAGGGAAUCUUUCACAAUGGACGAAAGUCUGAUGGAGCAACGCCGCGUGAGUGAAGAAGGUUUUCGGAUCGUAAAACUCUGUUGUUGGAGAAGAACACGUUUGAGAGUAACUGUUCAGACGUUGACGGUAUCCAACCAGAAAGCCACGGCUAACUACGUGCCAGCAGCCGCGGUAAUACGUAGGUGGCAAGCGUUAUCCGGAUUUAUUGGGCGUAAAGCGAGCGCAGGCGGUUUCUUAAGUCUGAUGUGAAAGCCUUCGGCUUAACCGAAGAAGUGCAUCGGAAACUGGGAAACUUGAGUGCAGAAGAGGACAGUGGAACUCCAUGUGUAGCGGUGAAAUGCGUAGAUAUAUGGAAGAACACCAGUGGCGAAGGCGGCUGUCUGGUCUGUAACUGACGCUGAGGCUCGAAAGCAUGGGUAGCGAACAGGAUUAGAUACCCUGGUAGUCCAUGCCGUAAACGAUGAGUGCUAAGUGUUGGGGAGGUUUCCGCCUCUCAGUGCUGCAGCUAACGCAUUAAGCACUCCGCCUGGGGGAGUACGACCGCAAGGUUGAAACUCAAAGGAAUUGACGGGGGCCCGCACAAGCGGUGGAGCAUGUGGGUUUAAUUCGAAGCAACGCGAAGAACCUUACCAGGUCUUGACAUCUAGUGCAAUCUGUAAAGAAUACUGAGUUCCCUUCGGGGACGCUAAAAACGGGUGGGUCCAUGGCUG